Salmo salar (Atlantic salmon) is the source of this 72-nucleotide non-coding RNA. The record is from Rfam. Lineage: Eukaryota; Metazoa; Chordata; Actinopteri; Salmoniformes; Salmonidae.
CUCCCUGUGGCUCAGUUGGUAGAGCAUGGUGUUUGCAACGCCAGGGUUGUGGGUUCGAUUCCCACGGGGGGC